CCCUUAGAUGUUCUGGGCCGCACGCGUGCUACACUGAGUGGAUCAGCGGGUCAGGUUACGCGAGAGCGUUUCCUAAUCUUCAAAUCCGCUCGUGAUGGGGAUUGACGGUUGCAAUUUUCCGUCAUGAACGAGGAAUACCUUGUAAGCGCGGGUCAUCAUCCCGCGCUGAAUACGUCCCUGCCCUUUGUACACACCGCCCGUCGCUCCUACCGAUUGAGUGGUCCGGUGAGGCUUUGGGAUCUAAGCGAAAAGAGCGUUUCGCUGUUUCUGCCCGGAAAACUCAGUCGAACCUUAUCAUUUAGAGGAAGGAGAAGUCGUAACA
RNAcentral lists this ribosomal RNA (322 nucleotides) under uncultured eukaryote. RNAcentral's name for it is "partial 18S ribosomal RNA". It matches the Rfam family "Eukaryotic small subunit ribosomal RNA", at positions 1470 to 1796 of the family's 1831-position model. The record is from RNAcentral.